RNAcentral lists this ribosomal RNA (443 nucleotides) under uncultured bacterium. RNAcentral's name for it is "partial 16S ribosomal RNA". It matches the Rfam family "Bacterial small subunit ribosomal RNA", at positions 338 to 795 of the family's 1533-position model. The record is from RNAcentral.
CCUACGGGGGGCAGCAGUGGGGAAUAUUGGGCAAUGGGCGCAAGCCUGACCCAGCAACGCCGCGUGAAGGAAGAAGGCUUUCGGGUUGUAAACUUCUUUUGUCAGGGACGAAGCAAGUGACGUUACCUGACGAAUAAGCCACGGUUAACUACGGGCAAGCAGCCGCGGCAAUACGUAGGUGGCAAGCGUUAUCCGGAUUUAAUGGGUGUAAGGGGCGGUUAGGGGGGGCAGCAAGUAAGAUGUGAAACCCACGGGCUCAACCUGUGGCCUGCAUUGGAAACUGUUUUUCUUGAGUGCUGGAGAGGCAAUCGGAAUUCCGUGUGUAGCGGUGAAAUGCGUAGAUAUACGGAGGAACACCAGUGGCGAAGGCGGAUUGCUGGACAGUAACUGACGCUGAGGCGCGAAAGCGUGGGGAGCAAACAGGAUUAGAUACCCGGGUAGUC